Erpetoichthys calabaricus (reedfish) is the source of this 1030-nucleotide RNA transcript. It is a transcript of the gene named phospholipase A and acyltransferase 3-like, with no coding region annotated. The transcript is spliced from 7 exons. The record is from RefSeq and is a predicted model, not a curated record. NCBI's taxonomy places the organism in Eukaryota, Metazoa, Chordata, Cladistia, Polypteriformes, Polypteridae.
CUUUGAGAAUAUAUAAAAAGAUGAUGAGAGCUGAUAUGAUUAACCACAGACACGCAGACAGCGAGACCCUCGAAACAUCGGUCUGUUGACAAAAAUGGGGAUUGUCUUUGUUCUUUACCUUUUGGUUUCAGUGGAACUCAUCUCAGCUUCAAUUUGUCCAGAGAAAGGAGACCUCAUUAAAGUGAAACGGAUGCUGUAUACGCACUGGGCCGUGUAUGUUGGCAAUGGUUCUGCCAUUCACACAACUGGAAUUCUCGAAGAGCUGUCAGAAAGAUAUCUGCAGUCACUGUCACCAAAGGAUGUUCCAAGUGAGCAAGGAUUUCAUGAAUUCCUGUCACUGACCAGGAGAAACAGCACAGCAGGAGACUCUGAAGACUCGGGUUCCUCUGAGGCCCAACGAGAGUAUCACAUAACGAAAGAAAAGUUUCAAACGAUACUCGCUGCAGAUACUUUUGCAGUUGCCAACAGUCAGUAUGAUAACCGAGAGUUGCCGGGCUUCAAUUUCAAACCUUUUUCAAAAAGUAAAAUUUUGGAACGCCUCAAUCGGUUUGUUGGCAAGAUCUACCCGUACUCGCUCCUCUAUCUGAACUGUGAGCAUUUUUGCACGUUUGUUCGCUAUGGCACCGCAAUCUCUGACCAGGCAGAACGUUUUCUGCUAUCUUUGAGAAAAAAGAAACGCAUUUCUGUGGCAACAAAGAAAUUAGAAGAUCUGAUGAAUGCUUAAACCUAAACUUUUGGCUUUGGCAAGAGUGGCCCAGCGACUUUCUAAAUUAUGAAAAGUCUGGAAAUAAUGACGAAGUAAAAGUCAGGAGUCAAAGACAAGGUGGAUGAUGAGGUGGAAGCCAACGUAACACGUGAACGAUUCAAAGGAUGUUGCCAGCUUUGUUCAAAGUUUCCAAGUUGUAGGGUGCACUGCUGUUUGACUAAAAUUCGCUUGUUUUUACAGCUAAUACAUUUCAUUGAAGCAAAGACGAUAAAGGUGUGUGUGUGUUUCAUGUGUGUAAUUUGGCUUUUGUGUGAAGCCCGGUUU